RNAcentral lists this ribosomal RNA (465 nucleotides) under uncultured bacterium. RNAcentral's name for it is "partial 16S ribosomal RNA". It matches the Rfam family "Bacterial small subunit ribosomal RNA", at positions 339 to 795 of the family's 1533-position model. The record is from RNAcentral.
CUACGGGGUGCUGCAGUGGGGAAUAUUGGACAAUGGGGGAAACCCUGAUCCAGCAAUGCCGCGUGUGUGAAGAAGGCCUGAGGGUUGUAAAGCACUUUUGUAGAGGAGGAUGGUAGACCAGGUUAAGAGCUAGGUUUAUUGACGUUACUCUAAGAAUAAGCACCGGCUAACUCCGUGCCAGCAGCCGCGGUAAUACGGAGGGUGCAAGCGUUAAUCGGAAUUACUGGGCGUAAAGGGUGCGUAGGCGGUUAUGUAAGUUAUCUGUGAAAUCCCUGGGCUUAACCUAGGUGGGAAAGAUAAGACUGCGUAACUGGAGUGUGGUAGAGGAUAGUGGAAUUUCAGGUGUAGCGGUGAAAUGCGUAGAGAUCUGAAGGAACACCAGUGGCGAAGGCGGCUAUCUGGACCAACACUGACGCUGAGGCACGAAAGCGUGGGGAGCAAACAGGAUUAGAUACCCGAGUAGUC